GGGCAGAAAUUUGACAGAGGAGAUUUCCUUCCAUAUGAUUUUGGCUUUGCUGCAAUGGAACAGAAUAUGCUCAACUUCUUUAUCCGUAUAGCACCCUAAGCUACAAGCCUUCUCUCCCGCACAACCUCUCUCUGAAAGCAGUACAUUGUGGGCAGAAUCUGAAGCCCACACUUCCAAAAGAAGGUUUUAAGUUUAGGUGGUAGGUCA
Molecule: long non-coding RNA, 207 nt
Filed under: Gossypium raimondii (Peruvian cotton)
Lineage: Eukaryota; Viridiplantae; Streptophyta; Magnoliopsida; Malvales; Malvaceae
Description: long non-coding RNA (GRAI_LNC002201)
Source: RNAcentral